UUCCUGAAAAACACCAAUAACGAUGCGUUUAUGGUAAAGCAACACAUCAAGCAAAUUUCGUGUAGGCCUUGUAUCCAGCCUAACGCCCUAAGAAUCACCACCUAAAAUUCUCUACAAAAAAAUGGGUAACAACAUCUUGCAAGCCCAGUGCAGCCAUAGUUUUAAUUUUGUUCUAAGAAGAAGAUAUAAGAAAGGUCCAAGGUUCAACUACAACAUAGACAUAAAUUAUUUACAAAAUUAGAAGGUGGAUACAUAAAUGCUCCAAGCCUGAAGUAUCCAUCGGCAUUUGAGAAGUGGCAAGUUCUCAGACACGUGCCAUGCAUUUCUACACCAACUUCAUACACCAUACGAAUAAGCCCUGGCACCUUGAAAUAACAAUUUAAAAUGCCAAUGCUCUUGAACAUUUAGUGUCGAAGUGAAACACUGAACGAAGCGGUAAUGGAACCUAGUACGUGUGCUCACAAUGUCGAUCUUAUUUUUAAUUUAAUUUUAAUUUUUUUUUGGUGAAAUACGAAAACCGUAAUGUACGGACCUGACAUAUGUCGCAGCGGGGAGGCUCAAGCUGUCCAACAAGAGGCACGCGGACAUGCUUAUUGGCUAGCUUAUUAGCAGCAUGGACCCUAGUGUCGCAACUUGUGCACAGUGCAGCUUCGUCUGCACAACACAUCACCGCCGCUUUGUUUUUCUCGCAUACAUCGCACUGAACUCUCAUUCUCACCGCCUUCUGAUGUAUUUCUUGCAGGUUUAGAUUAUUAUCCAGAACGACAGCAUACACUUGGCGCCACGAUGCCGAGCAGGUAGUAAAAGGAGCAGCACUGUGGCCGAACUCCACAUGUGUCCUUAGCUUCACCAGCAUCAAAUUGGACAGUCAGAAAAAAACUAAAAAAAAUAAACAAACAUAAAAUAAAAAAUAGAAAUAAGAUAGAAAUCACAGAAAAAUAUCAGUCAAAUAACCCGCACUCAUUCAGUCCUCUCCAAAAAUUUGCACCAUGAACCUCCUAGAGUAAAACCCUCUCCAUGUCAUCCUCUCUACACCAUUCCACCCACUUUCAAAAUCCUGAGCGGACCCACAUAUCUAAUCAGACUAAUUUACCAUAUAAAUGCCCCGACUACCUCACAAACUAAAACUGUUUCAAUCUGGAAUUGCGACCUCACUGUCUUACCACCCUCAUCUUCUCUACUAUCAUACACCACCACUUCGACGACCUUACUCUCAACUCUCACCCAAAAUGCACCACCCCUAAAACUCUACAACAACAACAACAACCGCAACCACAACAACGCCGACGACGCCAACAACCCUCUUCUAACUGAGCAUCAAAACCAGAACCACCACUCAC
RNAcentral lists this long non-coding RNA (1340 nucleotides) under Physcomitrium patens. Its description in RNAcentral is "long non-coding RNA (PPAT_LNC010284)". Lineage: Eukaryota; Viridiplantae; Streptophyta; Bryopsida; Funariales; Funariaceae. The record is from RNAcentral.